UCCGGUCCAUCCCUGAAAGCGUCAACACAAGCGACCACCGUCAUCGUCAUCAGCGUCGUCGCGUUCCACGUGCUCGCUAAGAGGCGUCCGCACCGCCUGAGCCCAACCUGCAGCCAGCCAGGAGACUCGAGACAAACGCGCUAAUCGGAGGUGCGGGGACUGGCCGAUGCUUGGUAAAUACAGUGGCUUACAGCAACCUCACGGAGCAACCCCACGGCCGUCGCAUGAAGCAAGAGCUAAAUUACGUGAUGCACACGGGGGGACAGAGUCUCGGUCACUCACUCCGCAGUGUGGUGAGCAACGUCACACAAUGGAACAUCCGGCCGUCUGCUGCGAUGUGACGACCCGCUCCGAUUGAGGGGGCUGCCCACCGUGCUCGUUGGGGACCGUGACGGAGUAGAUGCAGCUUUGCGUCACGCUGUAGUUGCCCGGGUAGUUGGGGGAGAGGAUGGAGCCCUCCUGGCCCGUGCUGUGGCCUCCGCACGGGGCUGGGGGCGGAGAGAGAAAGGAGAGAGAAAGCCUUUGGAUCGGUUUUGCCGGAUCGGCCCGGGACCGCCAGAUAAUGUUGGAAGCAGCAGCCGGAUAAUCGAUGAUCAACUGUACACACGAACAUCUUUGAAGAGGACGACGCGAUCCGUCAGGAGGAGAGGAAGAGGGAGCGGGGGGCGCGCCCGGGGCUCUCACCGCGGCAGGCUGGGAGGGGCCGGUUCCACGCUGGCCUCCCGUCGUCCCCCAUGAUGCACAGCAGGGUGGAGUAGCCGUGCAGCGAGUAGCCCGUGCCACAGGCGAACGUCACGCUCGAGCCCAGGCGCAGGUCGGAGCCGAGGCGCGAACCGUUCGCGAUGCUCCCGGGGUCGAAGCACGACUCCCGCGGUUUCUCUGCGAAUGCGGAUGGAAAAAAAAUGAACGAGUGACCCUCCGGAGUAAGACCGGCCCUGGGAAAAAAAGCUUGUUCAUAGCAUCGCUUGUGUUUAGGGGCGCCACGGCGGCUAGGAGAUGUUAUCUCCUUCGCCUGGUAUGCAGGAGGUCGUGGGUUCGAUCCCGACGCUGACGCCUACUGCUGUAUAUUUGGAGUUUGCGAAUCUCUCCCCCCGUGGUCGCUUAGAUUUUUCUCCAGGUCCUCCAGUUUUUCCGUCCACAUUUAAAAUCAACACGUGUUUAGAGUAUUUGGCUGCUUUAGAUUUUCCACGUGAUAGCCAGGUCGUUUAUGAAAAAGAGCGAUAUUGCUCAGCGGGCCUUAGCUGCUAAAAUAAAUUUUUUAAAAAUAGUAUUGCACAAUCGCUCAGGAACAAGCACAUACUACCCACUUUCUAACACAUCUUGGAAGCAUCUUGAGGAUUAUUUGGUAGACGGCAAAAUAUGUUUAAUUUCCGAUUAGAUUUAUAAAGUUGACAAGUACAAUUGUUUCUCACUAAACUGUGGAAUGGUGAGGUGUUCGGGUAGUCGGGCAAUUUGGCGUAGUUCAGUUCCACAAAUUUCAGUUUGGCAUUUCAAAGACCACACAGACACUGCUAAAGGCCCAAUUAGUGAAAAUGCCAUAAGUCACAAUAUAACACAAAGUCCACAGCAAAAAUGUUCUGCCAAGCGGUGCCCGCUGUUGUGUGUGUCCAGCGAGCAGCCCCCUGCUCCGUGGGGGGAGAGAUGAGAUGAGUGCCGGCCCAAGCCUCAUCUGAUCACCAGAGACACGGACAUUUCUCAGCUGCAACCUCAUCUCACGGGAACUCAAACGUGGUAUUCGUCAAUCAGUCAGCUAUAAUGACAAUCUGCCUUCGGCUGACACGGCACACUUGUGUGUGUACGCACGUCCGCGGGAUUGCGGUGGCAUGGCGACUGGCGCACUGCGCUACGAACCCGAUGGCGAGAGUUUGACUCCUGCUCGGGGCUAACAUCGGUGAUGUUAUAUCUCAACCGCUCCUGGGCCUCCCCGAGGUCAAUACGGAUUGUUUUGACACAGCACCACACACGAUGGUGGCAAAGACUCUGAAGGUGGCUGGCACUAGAACAGCU
This is a long non-coding RNA of Lethenteron reissneri (Far Eastern brook lamprey), 2007 nucleotides long. RefSeq lists it as uncharacterized. The record is from RefSeq and is a predicted model, not a curated record. NCBI's taxonomy places the organism in Eukaryota, Metazoa, Chordata, Hyperoartia, Petromyzontiformes, Petromyzontidae.